This is a microRNA precursor of Chlorocebus sabaeus (green monkey), 81 nucleotides long. The record is from Ensembl. Lineage: Eukaryota; Metazoa; Chordata; Mammalia; Primates; Cercopithecidae.
CUGCUGCAAAGAUGCCAGCUGCAGUGGGGAAGACAUGGCUAGGGCUGCAUGCUCUGUGGACUGGCAGGGGCCAAGAACAGG